GGGGGGAGUUCAGAAUUCUUCUGUAUUCUUGCAGGUUAAUGUGUGUGUGUGUGUGUGUGUGCAUAUAUGUGUGUGUGUGUGUGUGUGUGUGUGUGUGUGUGUGUUUGUGUGUAGUUCAGUGUGCUUGCAGGUUAAUGUGCGCAUGUGCCUCUACUGUACGUGUGUCUAUAAAGCAGAGUCAGUACUCAGACAGACAGACAGACAGACAGACAGACAGACAGACACCAUGUCUCCCUCCCAGUCCUCCCUACUAGUACUGCUGCUGAUGGUCUCCUGCUCCUGGGCCCCCCGCUCCUUAGGAGGAACCAUGACCUUCAUCUUCAUAGGGACCAACCCAGACGGGACCUACGGGGUGAGACCAAAGCACAAUGAUGAUGCUUCCUAUUAAAGAUGCAAUAUGCAGAAAUCACUCUGUCAUUUCCUGGUUGCUACAAUUGUAAUAGUUUGUCUAAUUUCAGUUUGUGACAAAACAAGCUUGUAUAGCGUAGAUCUAAACUGCUGUGAAAUAUAUUUUCAAUAACCAACAAUAUAGUAUUUUCAGCUUUUUGAAGCUGUUAUACAAAACUGAAAGUAAAAGACACAAAAAGACAGAUCUAUAACUCACAUUUCUACAUAUUGCAGCUUUAAGUGUUUUCUUCAACUGAGAGAAAUUAUAAUUUGUUCUUGUUGUCAUCUUGAAAAAUACAUUCUUCAUAGGGUUGGAAUAUUACUAGUAACUUUCUAAAUGUACCAGUAAACUAACAGAAUGUACCAGUAAACUAUCAGAAUGUACCAGUAAACUACCAACAUUUACCAGUAAACUACCAGCAUUUCGAAAACAUUCAAGGAGUUUUCCUAACGUGAAAUAUAUAAAAUAAUUUUUUGAAAUCCUAUUACAAAUCUAUAAAACAAAGCAGUAAAACAUUAUCCUUGUCACAAUCUUCGUCAUCUGAAGAGGAGAAAUCAUCGGACCAAUAUGCAGCGGGUAUAUUGCUCAUUUUCGAUUUAUUGAAGGUAAACACACUUAAACAAACUAACAACGAUAACAGCCCAGUAAGGUGCCAGACUAUAGUAGGAACAACCACCCACAAAACACAAGAGAAAACAAACCCACUUAAAUAUGGCCUCCAAUUAGAGGCAACGACAACCAGCUGCCUCUAACUGGAGGUCGUUCCCAAAACCCAAACAUAGAAAUAUAAAAACUAGAUAAACACAUAGAAAUAGAAAAUAUAGAACAUAAACCAAAAACCCCGAAACACACAAACCAAACACCCCCUGGCACACCCUGACCAAACUACAAUAACAAAUAACCCCUUUUACUGGUCAGAACGUGACUAUUCUAAAUAUAACCCAUAAAUUUAGUGAAUAUUGUUGCUGAGUGUUUCACCAUGGAAAAUCCUGUAUAUUUCAAUAUUCAAAAUGUCUCAAUAUAUCAAAUCAAAUGUAUUUAUAUAGCCCUUCUUACAUCAGCUGAUAUCUCAAAGUGCUGUACAGAAACCCAGCCUAAAACCCCAAGCAGCAAGCAUUGCAGGUGUAGAAGCACGGUGGCUAGGAAAAACUCCCUAGAAAGGCCAGAACCUAGGAAGAAACCUAGAGAGGAACCAGGCUAUGAGGGUUGGCCAGUCCCCUUCUGGCUGUGCCGGGUGGAGAUUAUAACAGAACAUGGCCAAGAUGUUCAAAUGUUCAGAAAUGACCAGCAGGGUCAAAUAAUAAUAAUCACAGUGGUUGUAGAGGGUGCAACAGGUCAGCACCUCAGGAGUAAAUGUCAGUUGGCUUUUCAUAGCCGAUCAUUGAGAGUAUCUCUACCGCUCCUGCUGUCUCUGUCUUGGUUGAUGUUUGAUGUAAAUGUUUUUGGGCCAAACUGGCGCCAGUCGCAGUUAUGACAAAAAUCAAUAGUUGGUAGUGUUGCAGAGUUAAUUGGUAAAUAUGUCAUUGUUGAUUAGAUGUUUUUUAAUUAAUUGGGCUAUUUUCUAACCACAUGGUCUAUCUAUUAGAAAGUUAUGGUAAACAUGGAAAUAGAUAUAAAGAAUAUGAAAAACAAAUCUGAAAACAUAUAUAAAUUACCAAUGUUUCCAUAGAUUUCCAAAAUGACAUUUGAAAAUUACUGGGGGUUUUGCUAACCUAUUCUUAGCUAAAGAGGCUUGUAAAAUGGACUCUACUGGUAGAAAUGGAACGCACAAUGUUUCCCUGUGGUCUGUGGUGCAUGUUUGCUGCCCUCUAGUGUUUAUUGUCAUGUAUGGCUCUCCUUUUCUCACUACAUAUACCCACUCCUAUUCACUUUGUAUACCCACUCCUAUUCACUACGUAUAGCCACUCCUAUUCACUACUUAUACCCACUCCUAUUCACUACAUAUACCCACUCCUAUUCACUACUUAUACCCACUCCUAUUCACUACUUAUACCCACUCCUAUUCACUACUUAUACCCACUCCUAUUCACUACUUAUACCCACUCCUAUUCACUACAUAUACCCACUCCUAUUCACUACUUAUACCCACUCCUAUUCACCACUUAUACCCACUCCUAUUCACUACAUAUACCCACUCCUAUUCACUACUUAUACCCACUCCUAUUCACUACUUAUACCCACCCCUAUUUACUACUUAUACCGACUCCUAUUCACUACCUAUGCCCACUCCUAUUCACAGCUUAUACCCGCUCCUAUUCACUACGUACACCCACUCCUAUUCACUGCUUAAAUCCUACCCUAUUCGACUACGUAUACCCACUCCUAUUCACUGCUUAUACCCACUCCUAUUCAAGUCUUCUCAGUAUACAAUGCCCCCCCCCCCCCCAUCCACCCCUACGGAUCUAUAAAACUUACUCCACAUUUUCAAAGUGAUAGAACAUUUUUGAAAAUGUUCCACAUUAAUACAAAAACCAUGUCUUCACACCCUGGGGGGCGGCAGGUAUCCUCGUGGUUAGAAUAGUGUAGGGGCGGCAGGUAGCCUCGUGGUUAGAAUGUAGGGGGGCAGGUAGCCUAGUGGUUAGAGUGUAGAGGCGGCAGGUAGCCUAGUGGUUAGAGUGUAGGGGGGUAGGUAGUCUAGUGGUUAGAGUGUAGGGGCGGCAGGUAGACUAGUGGUUAGAGUGUAGGGUGGGUAGGUAGCCUAGUGGUUAGAGUGUGGGGGGGCAGGUAGCCUAGUGGUUAGAGUGUAGGGGGGGCAGGUAGCCUAGUGGUUAGAGUGUAGAGGGGUAGGUAGCCUAGUGGUUAGAGUGUAGAGGGGUAGGUAGCCUAGUGGUUAGAGUGUAGAGGGGUAGGUAGCCUAGUGGUUAGAGUGUAGGGGGUGUAGGUAGCCUAGUGGUUAGAGUGUAGGGGCGGCAGGUAGCCUAGUGGUUAGAGUGCAGGGGCGGCAGGUAGCCUAGUGGUUAGAGUGUAGGGGCGGUAGGUAGCCUAGUGGUUAGAGUGUAGUGGUGGCAGGUAGCCUAGUGGUUAGAGUGUAGGGGGGUAGGUAGCCUAGUGGUUAGAGUGUAGGGGGGUAGGUAGCCUAGUGGUUAGAGUGUAGGGGGGUAGGUAGCCUAGUGGUUAGAGUGUAGGGGGGUAGGUAGCCUUGUGGUUAGAGCUUUGGGCCAGUAACCGAAAGGUUGCUAGAUCGAAUUCCUGAACUGACAAGAUAAAAAUCUGUCGUUCUACCCCUGAACAAUGCGGUUAUUCCACUGUUCCUAGGCCGUCAUCGUCAAUAAGAAUUUGUUAUUAACUGUCUAGUAAAAUAAAACCCUUGAGAUAAUACUUGGUGGAAGCUCUGUUUACAGUUAUACAUUUUUUCUACCAAGAUUCUACCAACUUGGCACAAAUUUUAGGGUAACACAAAGUGCUCAAGCUCAGUAAAACCAUUCUGGUGUGUUUUUAUUAUGUGUAAAUGUCUCGCUGAACAUAAAACUUUCCCAGGGUUAGAUUUUCAGAAGAUUGAGGUAUUUCCAUCUAACUUUCCUUCUUCAUAUUUAUUUUGAUCCUGACAAACUCCCCAGUUCCUGCCGGUGACAAGCAUACCCAUAACAUGAUGCGGCCACCACAACACUUGAAAAUACAGAGAAUCAAUUACAAAAGACAUUAUUCUAAAGACACAACUGAAUGGUUCACCAAGAGGUUAUGAGUGUUCCUGAUUGGUCCAGUUUCCAUCCUCAUGACUUCAAUCAGCUUGGAAAUUUUAACUAGGCAAGUCAGUUAAGAGCAUAUUCUUAUUUACAAUGACAGCCUAGGAACAGUGGGUUAACUGCCUUGUUCAGGGGCAGAACAACAGUUUUUUAUCUUGGCGGCUCUGGGAUUUGAUCUUGCAACCAUUUGGUUACUAGUCUAACACUCUAACCACUAGGCUACCUGCCACCCCAAUACAAUCGAUACAAUACAAUCCCCGAGCUGACAAGGUAAAAAUCUGUCGUUCUGCCCGUGAACAAGGCAGUUAACCCACUGUUCCUAGGCUGUCAUUGAAAAUAGGACUUUGUCCUUAAUUAAUAACCUGUUGGGGCUAGGGGGUAGCCUUAAUCCCCCAGUUGGGAUUGCUAGCAAGGCGGGAAAUUCAAAACAUCAAAAAUCUAAUAAUUUCAAUUUCUCAAACAAUCAACUAUUUUACACCAUUUAAAAGAUAAACAUCUCCUUAAUCGAACCACAUUGUUCGAUUUUCAAAGAGGCUUUACGCCGAAAGCAUGAAGUUAGAUUACGUUAGGACAGUACAUAGCCCAAAAAGUACAAACAUCCAUUUUCAAUUCAAGGACAGGCGUCACCAAAAGCAGAAAACCAGCUAAAAUUAUGCACUAACCUUUGACAAUCUUCCUCAGAUGACACUCCUAGGACAUUAUGUUAUACAAUACAUGCAUUUUUGUUCCAUCAAGUUCAUAUUUAUAUCCAAAAACAGCAUUUUACAGUGGCAGAAUUUUACGUUCGUUCAAACAUGUCAAACGUUGUUUAGCAUCAAUCUUUAGGGCAAUUUUUAACGUGAAACAUCAGUAAUGUUUCAACCCGACCUCUCCUGUGUCUCCUGUGUCUUGAAAACCGUUUUUGAUAAAUGUCUCGCCUCACAUGCAUGCGCAGGUGCGCGCAAUAAUGAAGUGACGACGUCCCAGGGACGUCAACUUCUCUUCAUUGUCAUCCGGUCUCUGUUCAUCAUUGACGCUUCAAACAACUUUAUAAAGAUCGUUGACAUCUAGUGGAAGCCGUAGGAAGUGCGAAAUGAAUCCUUUGUCACUGUGUGA
RNAcentral lists this long non-coding RNA (5166 nucleotides) under Salmo salar (Atlantic salmon). RNAcentral's name for it is "lncRNA (ENSSSAG00000094266.1)". The record is from RNAcentral. Lineage: Eukaryota; Metazoa; Chordata; Actinopteri; Salmoniformes; Salmonidae.